AGAGUUUGAUCCUGGCUCAGAACGAACGCUGGCGGCAGGCCUAACACAUGCAAGUCGAACGCUCGUAGCAAUACGAGAGUGGCAGACGGGUGCGGAACACGUGGGAACAUACCCUUUGGUUUGGAAUAACUCAGGGAAACUUGAGCUAAUACCGGAUAAGCCCGUAAGGGGAAGGAUUUAUCGCCGAAGGAUUGGCCCGCGUCCGAUUAGCUAGUUGGUGAGGUAAUGGCUCACCAAGGCGACGAUCGGUAGCUGGUCUGAGAGGAUGAUCAGCCACAUUGGGACUGAGACACGGCCCAAACUCCUACGGGAGGCUGCAGUGGGGAAUAUUGGACAAUGGGCGCAAGCCUGAUCCAGCCAUGCCGCGUGAGUGAUGACGGCCCUAGGGUUGUAAGGCUCUUUCACCCACGACGAUAAUGACGGUAGUGGGAGAAGAAGCCCCGGCUAACUUCGUGCCAGCAGCCGCGGUAAUACGAAGGGGGCUAGCGUUGUUCGGAUUUACUGGGCGUAAAGUGCACGUAGGCGGAUCUUUAAGUCAGGGGUGAAAUGCCGGAGCUCAACUUCGGAACUGCCUUUGAUACUGGAGAUCUUGAGUUCGGGAGAGGUGAGUGGAACUGCGAGUGUAGAGGUGAAAUUCGUAGAUAUUCGCAAGAACACCAGUGGCGAAGGCGGCUCACUGGCCCGAUACUGACGCUGAGGCGCGAAAGCGUGGGGAGCAAACAGGAUUAGAUACCCUGGUAGUCCACGCCGUAAACGAUGGGAUGCUAGCCGUUAGGCAGCUUGCUGCUUAGUGGCGCAGCUAACGCUUUAAGCAUCCCG
RNAcentral lists this ribosomal RNA (819 nucleotides) under uncultured bacterium. Its description in RNAcentral is "bacterial SSU rRNA". It matches the Rfam family "Bacterial small subunit ribosomal RNA", at positions 8 to 871 of the family's 1533-position model. The record is from RNAcentral.